Danio rerio (zebrafish) is the source of this 435-nucleotide non-coding RNA. Lineage: Eukaryota; Metazoa; Chordata; Actinopteri; Cypriniformes; Danionidae. The record is from Ensembl.
UUAACCUAAUUAACCUAGUUAAGCCUUUAAAUGUCACUUUAAGCUGGAUAGAAGUGUCUUGAAAGAUAUCUAGUCAAAUAUUAUUUACUGUCAUCAUGGCAAAGAUAAAAUAAAUCAGUUAUUAGAAAUGAGUUAUUAAAACUAUUAUUUAAACUAUUAUGUUUAAAAAUGUGUUGUACAUAAAUCAUGUGGUUGAAGACGGAAAUCAAAAACGAAUGAAGGCAAAACUAAACGAGUUGAAUAUGACUAACAUGAGCAUGGUGUGACAACGCGUACCUUUGUGUGCCUUUGAUGCACCCCUCUGGUGCUUCUUACACCUUUGUCGCAGCACCAGUGGCACCGAAAUUCAUAUGCUGGUUUGAUCCGGUACAGACCAGUUACAAAGGUACCGGUGCUAUAAUAGCACCAGGUUUCAAUAGCCAACCCUUGUCAUUU